GAUGAACGCUCGCGGCAGGCCUAACCCCUGCAAGUCGAGGGAGAGGUUACCUUCGGGUCACCAAAACCGGCGCACGGGUGCGUAACGCGUAUACAAUCUGCCUUUCACAUAGGGAUAGCCCGAAGAAAUUUGGAUUAAUACCUAAUGGUAUAUAAAAGCGGCAUCGUUUUUAUAUUAAAGCUACGGUAGUGAAAGAUGAGUAUGCGUUCUAUUAGCUAGUUGGAGAGGUAACGGCUCCCCAAGGCGACGAUAGAUAGGGGUUCUGAGAGGGAUGUCCCCCACACUGGUACUGAGAUACGGACCAGACUCCUACGGGAGGCAGCAGUGAGGAAUAUUGGACAAUGGUCGGAAGACUGAUCCAGCCAUGCCGCGUGCAGGAUGAAGGUCCUAUGGAUGGUAAACGGCUUUUGUAAGGGAAGAAUAAGAGCUACGGGUAGUUUGAUGACGGUACCUUACGAAUAAGCAUCGGCUAACUCCGUG
Molecule: ribosomal RNA, 480 nt
Filed under: uncultured bacterium
Lineage: Bacteria
Description: partial 16S ribosomal RNA
Rfam family: Bacterial small subunit ribosomal RNA
Source: RNAcentral